GUCCACGCUGUAAACGAUGAGUGCUAGAUGUCGCGGGAUUUGACCCCUGCGGUAUCGUAGCUAACGCGUUAAGCACUCCGCCUGGGGAGUACGGCCGCAAGGUUAAAACUCAAAGGAAUUGACGGGGGCCCGCACAAGCGGUGGAGUAUGUGGUUUAAUUCGACGCAACACGAAAACCUUACCUGGGUUGAACCCUCCCAAAGUCCGCAGAGAUGUGGAUGUGCCCUUGGGGAAUGGGAUGUCCAGGUGCUGCAUGGCUGUCGU
RNAcentral lists this ribosomal RNA (264 nucleotides) under uncultured bacterium. Its description in RNAcentral is "partial 16S ribosomal RNA". It matches the Rfam family "Bacterial small subunit ribosomal RNA", at positions 793 to 1055 of the family's 1533-position model. The record is from RNAcentral.